GGCUCUCGGCCCUCGCCAGAAGCCUCGCCUGUUCCUCGUAGCACUCCUCCAGGCGGAUCAUGUACUGGGCGAGCUAAGGGAUAGGAAAAACGAGGGCGUCAGGCGGGGAUCAACAGAGCCUAUAAAUGAUAAAAGCGACCGAAAGAACACUCACCGACAUGAGACAGACGCAGCUGGCAGCCCCAACGUCAGGGACCCUCAUCUCCCGGACCUGCCUGCGGUCCUUCUCCAGCAGUACUGUCUCGAUGAGGUUUCGGGCGCCGGCGAAAGUGAAGGCCGACCCCGACUUCUCCCCGGAGUCGGACGGUGGUUCCGCAGCCUUACCCUUACCCAUCGCUUGGGGAAGAGUCAUG
Molecule: long non-coding RNA, 353 nt
Filed under: Phoenix dactylifera (date palm)
Lineage: Eukaryota; Viridiplantae; Streptophyta; Magnoliopsida; Arecales; Arecaceae
Description: long non-coding RNA (PDAC_LNC021577)
Source: RNAcentral